AUUGAACGCUGGCGGCAUGCCUUACACAUGCAAGUCGAACGGCAGCAUGGAGAGCUUGCUCUCUGAUGGCGAGUGGCGAACGGGUGAGUAAUGCAUCGGAACGUACCGUGUAAUGGGGGAUAACGUAGCGAAAGUUACGCUAAUACCGCAUACGACCUGAGGGUGAAAGCAGGGGAUCGCAAGACCUUGCGUUAUACGAGCGGCCGAUGUCAGAUUAGCUAGUUGGUGAGGUAAAGGCUCACCAAGGCGACGAUCUGUAGCGGGUCUGAGAGGAUGAUCCGCGACCCUGGGACUGAGACACGGCCCAGACUCCUACGGGAGGCAGCCGUGGGGAAUUUUGGACAAUGGGGGCAACCCUGAUCCAGCCAUGCCGCGUGAGUGAAGAAGGCCUUCGGGUUGUAAAGCUCUUUCGGCCGGGAAGAAAUCGCACAGGCUAAUACUCUGUGUGGAUGACGGUACCGGCAUAAGAAGCACCGGCUAACUACGUGCCAGCCGCCGCAGUAA
This 504-nucleotide ribosomal RNA is filed under the name uncultured bacterium. Its description in RNAcentral is "partial 16S ribosomal RNA". It matches the Rfam family "Bacterial small subunit ribosomal RNA", at positions 30 to 523 of the family's 1533-position model. The record is from RNAcentral.